Molecule: ribosomal RNA, 580 nt
Filed under: uncultured bacterium
Lineage: Bacteria
Description: bacterial SSU rRNA
Rfam family: Bacterial small subunit ribosomal RNA
Source: RNAcentral
ACGGGUGAGUAACACGUGAGUAACCUGCCCUUAACUCUGGGAUAAGCCUGGGAAACUGGGUCUAAUACCGGAUAUGACUCCUCAUCGCAUGGUGGGGGGUGGAAAGCUUUAUUGUGGUUUUGGAUGGACUCGCGGCCUAUCAGCUUGUUGGUGAGGUAAUGGCUCACCAAGGCGACGACGGGUAGCCGGCCUGAGAGGGUGACCGGCCACACUGGGACUGAGACACGGCCCAGACUCCUACGGGAGGCAGCAGUGGGGAAUAUUGCACAAUGGGCGCAAGCCUGAUACAGCGACGCCGCGUGAGGGAUGACGGCCUUCGGGUUGUAAACCUCUUUCAGUAGGGAAGAAGCGAAAGUGACGGUACCUGCAGAAGAAGCGCCGGCUAACUACGUGCCAGCAGCCGCGGUAAUACGUAGGGCGCAAGCGUUAUCCGGAAUUAUUGGGCGUAAAGAGCUCGUAGGCGGUUUGUCGCGUCUGCCGUGAAAGUCCGGGGCUCAACUCCGGAUCUGCGGUGGGUACGGGCAGACUAGAGUGAUGUAGGGGAGACUGGAAUUCCUGGUGUAGCGGUGAAAUGCGCAGA